GUGGGGAAUCUUGCGCAAUGGGCGAAAGCCUGACGCAGCCAUGCCGCGUGAAUGAUGAUGGUCUUAGGAUUGUAAAAUUCUUUCACCGGGGACGAUAAUGACGGUACCCGGAGAAGAAGCUCCGGCUAACUUCGUGCCAGCAGCCGCGGUAAUACGAAGGGGGCUAGCGUUGCUCGGAAUUACUGGGCGUAAAGGGCGCGUAGGCGGACAGCUUAGUCAGAGGUGAAAGCCCAGGGCUCAACCUUGGAAUUGCCUUUGAUACUGGCUGUCUUGAGUUUGGGAGAGGUGAGUGGAACUCCGAGUGUAGAGGUGAAAUUCGUAGAUAUUCGGAAGAACACCAGUGGCGAAGGCGACUCACUGGCCCGUUACUGACGCUGAGGCGCGAAAGCGUGGGGAGCAAACAGGAUUAGAAACCCGUGUAGUCC
This 425-nucleotide ribosomal RNA is filed under the name uncultured bacterium. Its description in RNAcentral is "partial 16S ribosomal RNA". It matches the Rfam family "Bacterial small subunit ribosomal RNA", at positions 354 to 796 of the family's 1533-position model. The record is from RNAcentral.